RNAcentral lists this ribosomal RNA (484 nucleotides) under uncultured bacterium. RNAcentral describes it as "partial 16S ribosomal RNA". It matches the Rfam family "Bacterial small subunit ribosomal RNA", at positions 30 to 507 of the family's 1533-position model. The record is from RNAcentral.
AUUGAACGCUGGCGGCAGGCCUAACACAUGCAAGUCGAGCGGAUGAAGGGAGCUUGCUCCUGGAUUCAGCGGCGGACGGGUGAGUAAUGCCUAGGAAUCUGCCUGGUAGUGGGGGAUAACGUCCGGAAACGGGCGCUAAUACCGCAUACGUCCUGAGGGAGAAAGUGGGGGAUCUUCGGACCUUACGCUAUCAGAUGAGCCUAGGUCGGAUUAGCUAGUUGGUGGGGUAAAGGCCUACCAAGGCGACGAUCCGUAACUGGUCUGAGAGGAUGAUCAGUCACACUGGAACUGAGACACGGUCCAGACUCCUACGGGAGGUAGCAGUGGGGAAUAUUGGACAAUGGGCGAAAGCCUGAUCCAGCCAUGCCGCGUGUGUGAAGAAGGUCUUCGGAUUGUAAAGCACUUUAAGUUGGGAGGAAGGGCAGUAAGUUAAUACCUUGCUGUUUUGACGUUACCAACAGAAUAAGCACCGGCUAACUUCGUG